This 253-nucleotide ribosomal RNA is filed under the name uncultured bacterium. RNAcentral describes it as "partial 16S ribosomal RNA". It matches the Rfam family "Bacterial small subunit ribosomal RNA", at positions 524 to 776 of the family's 1533-position model. The record is from RNAcentral.
UACGUAUGUCGCGAGCGUUAUCCGGAAUUAUUGGGCAUAAAGGGCAUCUAGGCGGUCGGGUAAGUCCGGGGUGAAAACUGCUGGCUCAACCAGCAGCCUGCCUUGGAAACUACCCGGCUUGAGUGCUGGAGAGGUGGACGGAACUGCACGAGUAGAGGUGAAAUUCGUAGAUAUGUGCAGGAAUGCCGAUGAUGAAGAUAGUUCACUGGACGGCAACUGACGCUGAAGUGCGAAAGCUAGGGGAGCGAACAGG